GCUUCCCCUAGAGCAAGUGGCAAAGGAUUUGGUGGUUGGUACCUGAAAUCCAAGUUCGAAUCCUAGUUGAUUCACAUAUCCAGCUAAGUUUAUUUCUAAAUGAAAUAAACAAAGCGGGUAGCGUGCUAUUUAUCUCUCUCAAAAAAAAAGAAAAAAAAGUGUAAUUUUAUCUGCUCAAAUAGAAUAAAUAAUGAAUUGGAAAAAUUAUUAAUUGUUUGUAUAUGAUGUAUAA
Molecule: long non-coding RNA, 232 nt
Filed under: Ananas comosus (pineapple)
Lineage: Eukaryota; Viridiplantae; Streptophyta; Magnoliopsida; Poales; Bromeliaceae
Description: long non-coding RNA (ACOM_LNC015737)
Source: RNAcentral